CAUCUAUGGAGCAUCUGUUGAAGAGGCAUCAAAAUAAGAGAAAAGUGAAUGAGGUGGUGUUUUCUCUCUUUGAGUCAUGCCUGCAGCUGAUCCCUUCAUUCAGAGAAGCACGCAAGAGGCCGCUCAAGAUAGUCGCUUCUCCAGAUGCAGCAUGCAGCCCUGGCCCUUGGGGUCCUCCCAGUGAAGGUGGUGCUUCCAGAAGCCCCAGCCCUUCUCUUUCCUAGCCGAGGGACUCGCCUGCCUACAGAGGGUGUAUAUUCAGAGCUGCUCAUCAUGCACCAGACCUGCUUUCUGAGUCUGUCCGGAUCUCUCUGCUGCAAGGGGAAUGUUUGUCUGCAGUGGCUGGAACAUCUCAGGAAGUCCCUAGGGAUGGCACAUGUGUACCAUCUCCUCCAAUCUAGUUUUUAUCUACCAUAUAAAGUUGACAUUUAG
RNAcentral lists this long non-coding RNA (432 nucleotides) under Canis lupus familiaris (dog). RNAcentral describes it as "lncRNA (ENSCAFG00000058070.1, ENSCAFG00845003225.1)". The record is from RNAcentral. Lineage: Eukaryota; Metazoa; Chordata; Mammalia; Carnivora; Canidae.